Molecule: ribosomal RNA, 445 nt
Filed under: uncultured bacterium
Lineage: Bacteria
Description: bacterial SSU rRNA
Rfam family: Bacterial small subunit ribosomal RNA
Source: RNAcentral
GUGAGGAAUAUUGGACAAUGGGUGCAAGCCUGAUCCAGCCAUCCCGCGUGCAGGAAGACGGCCCUAUGGGUUGUAAACUGCUUUUAUACAGGAAUAAAUCUAGACACGUGUGUUUAGUUGAAGGUACUGUAGGAAUAAGCAUCGGCUAACUCCGUGCCAGCAGCCGCGGUAAUACGGAGGAUGCAAGCGUUAUCCGGAUUCAUUGGGUUUAAAGGGUCCGUAGGCGGGCUGAUAAGUCAGUGGUGAAAGCCGGCAGCUUAACUGUCGAACUGCCAUUGAUACUGUUAGUCUUGAGUGAAUUUGAAGUUGCCGGAAUAUGUAGUGUAGCGGUGAAAUGCAUAGAUAUUACAUAGAACACCUAUUGCGAAGGCAGGUAACUAAGAUUUAACUGACGCUGAUGGACGAAAGCGUGGGGAGCGAACAGGAUUAGAUACCCGAGUAGUCC